AUUGAACGCUGGCGGCAGGCCUAACACAUGCAAGUCGAACGAGAGGCGGACGGGUGGGUAAUGUAUGGGAAUCUGCCUGAUGGAGGGGGAUCAGUACGGAAAGCGGUCGCAAAUACCGCAACACAUCAGAUGCGACCAUAUGGGUUUAGCUUGUAGGUAAGGUAACGGCUUACCUAGGCGACGCUCCCUAGCUGGUCUGAGAGGAUGAACAGCCACACUGGGACUGAGACACGGCCCAGACUCCUACGGGAGGCAGCAGUGGGGAAUAUUGCACAAUGGGCGCAAGCCUGAUGCAGCCAUGCCGCGUGUAUGAAGAAGGCCUUCGGGUUGUAAAGUACUUUCAGUCGGGAGGCGUUACCGACAGAAGAAGCACCGGCUAACUCCGUGCCAGCAGCCGCGGUAAUAC
Molecule: ribosomal RNA, 406 nt
Filed under: uncultured bacterium
Lineage: Bacteria
Description: partial 16S ribosomal RNA
Rfam family: Bacterial small subunit ribosomal RNA
Source: RNAcentral